Molecule: ribosomal RNA, 305 nt
Filed under: uncultured bacterium
Lineage: Bacteria
Description: bacterial SSU rRNA
Rfam family: Bacterial small subunit ribosomal RNA
Source: RNAcentral
GAUACCUACGGGAGGCAGCAGUGAGGAAUAUUGGUCAAUGGGCGCAAGCCUGAACCAGCCAAGUCGCGUGAGGGAAGACGGCCCUACGGGUUGUAAACCUCUUUUGCCGGGGAGCAAGCCUGAGCACGUGUGCCCAGGCGGAGAGUACCCGGAGAAAAAGCAUCGGCUAACUCCGUGCCAGCAGCCGCGGUAAUACGGAGGAUGCGAGCGUUAUCCGGAUUUAUUGGGUUUAAAGGGUGCGCAGGCGGAGGUGCAAGUCAGCGGUCAAAUUGCGGGGCUCAACCCCGUACUGCCGUUGAAACUGC